RNAcentral lists this ribosomal RNA (256 nucleotides) under uncultured bacterium. RNAcentral's name for it is "partial 16S ribosomal RNA". It matches the Rfam family "Bacterial small subunit ribosomal RNA", at positions 524 to 776 of the family's 1533-position model. The record is from RNAcentral.
UACGUAGGGUGCAGGCGUUUAAUCGGAAUUACUGGGCGUAAAGCGUGCGCAGGCGGUUUGCUAAGAGAGAUGGUGAAAUCCCCGGGCUUAACCUGGGAACUGCGUUUCUAACUGGCAGGCUUGAGUGUGGCAGAGGGGGGGUGGAAUUCCACGUGUAGCAGUGAAAUGCGUAGAGAUGUGGAGGAACACCGAUGGCGAAGGCAGCCCCCUGGGCUAACACUGACGCUCAUGCACGAAAGCGUGGGGAGCAAACAGG